This 193-nucleotide transfer RNA is filed under the name Coconut lethal yellowing phytoplasma. RNAcentral describes it as "partial 16S-23S ribosomal RNA intergenic spacer". The stretch from base 120 to 193 matches the Rfam family "tRNA". Lineage: Bacteria; Bacillati; Mycoplasmatota; Mollicutes; Acholeplasmatales; Acholeplasmataceae. The record is from RNAcentral.
AGGAAAUUUUUUAAAAUAAUCAUCUUCGGUUUUGAAAGACUUAAGUUAAUUUAAAAAAAUAAGUUUUUCGUUUUUUUCAUUAGUUAAUUCUUUUAAUAUAAUAUUCUUUAAGAUUUUAAGGGCCUAUAGCUCAGUUGGUUAGAGCACACGCCUGAUAAGCGNGAGGUCGNUGGUUCAAGUCCAUUUAGGCCCA